RNAcentral lists this unclassified non-coding RNA (872 nucleotides) under Hevea brasiliensis (rubber tree). Lineage: Eukaryota; Viridiplantae; Streptophyta; Magnoliopsida; Malpighiales; Euphorbiaceae. The record is from RNAcentral.
UUCGAUUGUUUACCUUUCAUUUUCCAAUCACUUAGCACUUGAAUUGAUCUCAUCUAAGUGCUGAAAUUGGUGAGGAAAUACUCGAAUCAAACUCAUUUUGGUGCUAGAAUCUCAUGUACUAAAGCUCUGUUUUCUUAGCAACAUUAUCGAAUGAUGGCAAUUUUUUCCAAAGAUGCCGAGAUAAGAAUGACGAAUUUCACUACGCAGCAACUCAUUCCGAUUACCUCGUAAUGAAAUCAAGGACUUGUUUGGUUGGUGAUAAGUGAGUUGGAAAUUUUCUAAGUUUCCAAGAAAUAUUUGACUUGUUUAGUUGGGACUGAAGUAAUGAAGUCUUUGCAAAUUCCCAAGGGAAUACAACGCGUUCUUUUCAGAACUUUAAACACUGAUAGGAAGCUUAUGUACCAAACCGAGUUCGAUUCAAGCUAUGUUGGGAUCGUGAAGGAUGGGGCAGAAUGGAUUGUAGAGAACACAGACAUCAAGCUCGUUGGAAUUGAUUACUUGUCUAUUGCAACAUAUGACGAUGCCGUUCCAACCCAUCAAGCAUUACUGAGAAGCAGAGAAAUUGUUGUGGUGGAGGGCCUAAAACUUGAAGACAUUGAAGCAGGAAUAUAUGAUCUGCAUUGCUUGCCCAUUAGGGUGCUUGGUGCUGAUGGAACACCAACAAGAUGCGUUCUUAUGGAAUAAAUGAUCUGUGAUAUGAUGUGAAAGCUAGCUGGUCCUUAAUUAUGCCUUUAUUAUGGAAAUAAAUCACGAGGUUAAUUAUGCUCUUGGUUAUAUAUAUGAUAAUAAUCAAUGCUUACUAUGAUGGCUUGCUGUUAUUGUAAAUUUAAUAUACUCAAUUAAUUUUUAAGAUUUAAAAUUAUGAAAUAUAC